AUUGUCAAAAAAGCGCCAGGACUUAUGGGGAACAUAAGUUAACGAGGACGGGGUUUAUCGAGUUUUCGGCGGAUGCCCUGCGGUGUGUCACCACCGAGAGAAAUCCUACAAACCCGGCAAGUGAUUGACGGACAAAAGGAUGGGUGAUUUUUA
Molecule: non-coding RNA, 153 nt
Filed under: Oxobacter pfennigii
Lineage: Bacteria; Bacillati; Bacillota; Clostridia; Eubacteriales; Clostridiaceae
Description: GlcN6P sequence
Rfam family: glmS glucosamine-6-phosphate activated ribozyme aptamer
About the family: This entry contains a glucosamine-6-phosphate activated ribozyme that is found in the mRNA for GlmS. GlmS is an enzyme that uses fructose-6-phosphate and glutamine to generate glucosamine-6-phosphate. The ribozyme catalyses self cleavage of the glmS mRNA that is thought to regulate GlmS activity.
Source: Rfam by way of RNAcentral